GACGAACGCUGGCGGCGUGCUUAAUACAUGCAAGUCGAACGGAAAGGCCCUGCUUUUGUGGGGUGCUCGAGUGGCGAACGCGUGAGUAACACGCGAGUAACCUGUCCUUGUCUGCCUGAUAACUUCAGGAAACUGGGGCUAAUAUCGGAUAGGAUCUCCUGCUGCAUGUGGGGGGUUGGAGAGUUUCGGCGGUUGGGGAUGGAUUCGCUGCUUAUGAGCUUGUUUGGGAGGUAGUGGCUUACGAAGGGUUUGACGGGUAGCCGGCCUGAGAGGGUUACCGGCGACCUUGGGACUGAGGUACGGAGCAGACUGCUACGGGAGGCAGCAGUGGAGAGUAUUGCGGAGUGGGCGGAAGCGUGAUGCAGAGGCGCCGCGUGCGGGAUGCCGGCCUUCGGGUUGUGAACCGAUUUCGCCUGUGACGAAGAGGGAGUGACGGUAAUGGGUAAAGAAGCACCGGCUAACUACGUG
RNAcentral lists this ribosomal RNA (468 nucleotides) under uncultured bacterium. Its description in RNAcentral is "partial 16S ribosomal RNA". It matches the Rfam family "Bacterial small subunit ribosomal RNA", at positions 28 to 507 of the family's 1533-position model. The record is from RNAcentral.